RNAcentral lists this ribosomal RNA (549 nucleotides) under uncultured bacterium. Its description in RNAcentral is "bacterial SSU rRNA". It matches the Rfam family "Bacterial small subunit ribosomal RNA", at positions 355 to 896 of the family's 1533-position model. The record is from RNAcentral.
UGGGGAAUUUUGGACAAUGGGCGCAGGCCUGAUCCAGCCAUGCCGCGUGUCUGAAGAAGGCCUUCGGGUUGUAAAGGACUUUUGUCAGGGAAGAAAAGGCUGUUGCUAAUAUCGACAGCUGAUGACGGUACCUGAAGAAUAAGCACCGGCUAACUACGUGCCAGCAGCCGCGGUAAUACGUAGGGUGCGAGCGUUAAUCGGAAUUACUGGGCGUAAAGCGAGCGCAGACGGUUACUUAAGCAGGAUGUGGAAUCCCCGGGCUCAACCUGGGAACUGCGUUCUGAACUGGGUGACUAGAGUGUGUCAGAGGGAGGUAGAAUUCCACGUGUAGCAGUGAAAUGCGUAGAGAUGUGGAGGAAUACCGAUGGCGAAGGCAGCCUCCUGGGAUAACACUGACGUUCAUGCUCGAAAGCGUGGGUAGCAAACAGGAUUAGAUACCCUGGUAGUCCACGCCCUAAACGAUGUCAAUUAGCUGUUGGGCAACUUGAUUGCUUAGUAGCGUAGCUAACGCGUGAAAUUGACCGCCUGGGGAGUACGGUCGCAAGAUUA